This 490-nucleotide ribosomal RNA is filed under the name uncultured bacterium. RNAcentral describes it as "partial 16S ribosomal RNA". It matches the Rfam family "Bacterial small subunit ribosomal RNA", at positions 30 to 507 of the family's 1533-position model. The record is from RNAcentral.
AUUGAACGCUGGCGGCAGGCCUAACACAUGCAAGUCGAACGGUAACAGGAAGCAGCUUGCUGCUUUGCUGACGAGUGGCGGACGGGUGAGUAAUGUCUGGGAAACUGCCUGAUGGAGGGGGAUAACUACUGGAAACGGUAGCUAAUACCGCAUAACGUCGCAAGACCAAAGAGGGGGACCUUAGGGCCUCUUGCCAUCGGAUGUGCCCAGAUGGGAUGAGCUAGUAGGUGGGGUAACGGCUCACCUAGGCGACGAUCCCUAGCUGGUCUGAGAGGAUGACCAGCCACACUGGAACUGAGACACGGUCCAGACUCCUACGGGAGGCAGCAGUGGGGAAUAUUGCACAAUGGGCGCAAGCCUGAUGCAGCCAUGCCGCGUGUAUGAAGAAGGCCUUCGGGUUGUAAAGUACUUUCAGCGGGGAGGAAGGGAGUAAAGUUAAUACCUUGGCUCAUUGACGUUACCCGCAGAAGAAGCACCGGCUAACUCCGUG